AGCCUUACGUCAUAGUGCGACGUGAAGUCAUGGGCAAUAGCGACAGCAGCGCGCACUAUUUCUCGAGUACAGUAGCAGCAGAGCCGAGGGUAUCGCCGAGUGGUCUUCACAGGUGAAGUUACUGCGCGCGUCCUUGUGGCUUUACAUGUGUAAAUAUCACAGAGAAUAAAAGGACGCGGGGCGGGUAAAUCAGUGAUUUUGAUUAGUCUUGGCAAACACUGUGGCACCGGACGCGCAGGGUGGGGGUGCAGCGCAGGGUGGGGGAUGGCCCGGCCCGAUGGCAACGGGUUUCCCCUUUUCUAUCCACAUCCAAUCAGAAGCUCGCCAGGCCGUGACGUCGCACCUAUACUGUGUCGAGGUUCCCUCCUAAAUUUAUAUUGAGCAUUCCGACCGUGGACACGCUGUUUUUAUGAGGUUUAAGUGGUACUUCUAGGUUCAUUUUUAAAAAAGCACCGUUCCAUUUUUAUUGCGACAAGAUUUAUUGGCAUGACAUAAAGUGGCACACAAAAGCAACUGCAUUACAGCUCAGGAUGAAGUUUACAACCAUUUUCUUGGAAAGACAGCAUCAGGGGAUGAUAGGGAAGUCCGGCCAUGUGGGCUGCGAAUGAUGUAAUGAUGUCUGUGUGGUUUAUUGGAUGAGAGAAUUUUAUCAAUAAAGAUAAUAAAAGAAAAUACUACCCACCCUUGCAAAAUCAAAGCUAUCUGGUCAGGAUUACACCAGUGUUAAGUAACCCAACCCACAGUUCUUCUAUACUUCUAUAUAAACAUAUACCCAUAUUAAAAUCACUAGGAUGAAAAAGAUACCAAAAGGUCACUACUAAUACUGAUUAUUCUAAAAUCCUGAUUUUAAAACUAAAACCAAGACAAUAGUUUAAUUCUUGUUCAAAACAGGUUUAAUUGACCUGCAUAUUGCCAUGGGACACUUCUGCUGAUGACUUUGUGGCUGUGUCAUCCUCCUAGUGCAGCACUUUAAAUGCUAUAAGCUCAAACAAACAAAAGCAAAAAGAGAUAACUGUAGGUGUGUGUGUGUGUGUGUGUGUGUGUGUGUGUGUGUGUGUGUGUGUGUGUGUGCG
Gasterosteus aculeatus aculeatus (three-spined stickleback) is the source of this 1073-nucleotide long non-coding RNA. The record is from Ensembl. Lineage: Eukaryota; Metazoa; Chordata; Actinopteri; Perciformes; Gasterosteidae.